AUGGACAAUACUGAAGUCACCGCUGCAAGUGGGAACUCCGCAAAGAGUGGGGUCAUUGUAUGGACCCCUGCCAUGACCAACAUGAUGCUAGGAUUUUUGGCUGACCUUGUUGCUAAAGGAAAGAGGACUUCUAGUGGGUUCAGGGAGGCACAUCAUAGACAAUGUGCUGCUGUUCUGAAUGAGCAGUUCAAACUUGCUGUCACUGGAGAACAAGUUCGAAACCAUCUCAAGAAGUGGAGGAAGAUUUGGGGAAGGGUAGUCAUCUUGAAGAAUUUAAGUGGAGCUCUAUGGGAUGAAAAUACUUGCACAAUUAGGCUUGCCGAAGAACACUGUGCGGGUCAUUGCAUGGUAAGCUUAUAA
RNAcentral lists this ribosomal RNA (360 nucleotides) under Triticum aestivum (bread wheat). RNAcentral's name for it is "partial small subunit ribosomal RNA". Lineage: Eukaryota; Viridiplantae; Streptophyta; Magnoliopsida; Poales; Poaceae. The record is from RNAcentral.